AAUAACGCGAAAUGGCGGAACAGUGUUUUGGUAAAUAUCAUGAAAUAUAUAAAAGUAUAUAAGUACGAGGUCUACGAUUCGUUAAUUUCCCAAAGAUCAAACGAAACUAUUUGCAGACUCGAUCGAGUAGUGGAUGUUAAUUGAAUGCCGAAUGUGAUGGUAUAAAGAUAAAAAAGUAUGCACACGUCUUAUUUGUGUCAACGACAGAAACUGUGCUGUAGGCUGAGAAUAGCUUUACUCCAUUUAUUCCCUAAGAUGUGAACCUCCCGAUCCAGUUUCGGUGCUUCUAAGCAUUCCAAGCACCGGUCACAGUUCCCGUCGAAGCCGCCGAAUGCGACGAAGAGUUCGGCGAGUAAAUUAACCUACAGAUACAGUCCACUGAGUUUCUUGUCGGAUCUUCCCAUAGGUUCGCGAUUUAACAUAUUCGCCAGCCUCAGCGUCGUGACCUGGCCUCUAAGCCUUUCCUAUUCUAACCCCUCGAGAUUACUAACAAUACUAACUAACUAGGCAAACACAUAAUGGAUGUAAAUAUCGACAAAGACUUUUUUUUUCCUACCUAAGCUGAUAGCCUUGAGAGGCUAUUUCAUGUCCCGAGGUGGAUAGCUGCACGUUGUGAUAUUUACGAGAUUCGGUAACCAUUUUACGGAUUAAGCAGUGAACUCGUUCACCUUCAGUUAAAAAAAGGAUCUUGCUUUACUUUUUUAUUCUAUUUAGUUUGUGCAAUAUUUAAUUUUGUGUGAAAACCAACGAGAACAGGUCACGUAACAUGAACAUUUUUCAAACGAGGCUUGGAAGAGCAUUAAGCGAUAGGCAGCGUCUUGGCUCUGCCCCUAGCAUUGCUGAAGUCUAUGGGCGGCGGUAACCACUCACCAUCAGGUGGGCCGUAUGCCCGUCUGCCUACAAGGGUAAUAAAAAAAAUAAAAAAUAAAUUAUAUAAAAUUCUAAGAAAAAAAAAUGCUUUUUCAUGAAAUAAAUUGAAAUCAAUAAAUCUUACGGCGUUUAUAUCUUAUAAAUUUUACCAUAAUAAGUAUAAUAAAAUUUAAAGUAUGCCUAUCUAUGUAACAUAUGUAUUGUAUUUAGUCUGUUUUUUUUGUUCGUACAAUUUCAAAAGAUGUCGGCCCAAAAAAAAAAAACGAUCGUAAAAAUCCAAAAAAGUUUGAUGCGCAUUUUAAUUGUGCGUCAGCUUCCUUAUUACUGCAACGAUAUUUUGUUCUUGUAUCUUGUUCUGUAUUUUAGUUUUCUGUGUUUACAGAAUACGCUAAAAGCGUCAUUAUGACGUCAUUUAUAAAAUUAGUUGAACAUCGAAACGCCUUGGAACAUUUAUCACAAUGUCAAAUAAACGUAAAAUAGGUUAUGUCCAGUUUUAUUUCCCUGAAUCUAUUAAUUUUUCAGGCUCUUUCUUAUAUUUGUUAUGAACCGUUAAAGCGUAUUUCACGUAUUUACUUAUAACAGUUAUAACUUAAACAAAUUGUUGAAUAUUAUAAGUCUCCAGAAAUAAACAUUGCGUUCCAGUUUAUCUUGCUGUGCCAAACUUUUCCCGCCUUUACCACGGUCAGUCAACACGCGGAGAUCGCACGCUAAACCGGCCAGUGUUCGAUAAAAAAACUUUUUUAAAUCAGUGAUAAUCAAACACACAGCCAUGGCAGACGAUGAAUACCAACACAUAGUGACUAGAGUAGAAGCAAUAACGGAACAAGAUGAUAGGCAUUUAGCUGGUGCAACGAAAGAAAUAAGAAAUGAUUUAACGGUUAUUAUACCAGAAAAUCCGUUUCCAGAUAUCGAAGUCGAUGCGUAUCCACCUCUCAAGUUUUCAUGGGUCAUACCUAAAAAAAUUUCGGCUAUGGCCUUUCCUAGGAACAAGGAGAAUUUAAAAUUCUUAGUAAAUCAAGGCAUAACUCAUUUGGUGACAUUAACAGCUGGAAAAAAACCUCCUGUAGACGAUAUUCCUAGACUGAAGUGGACAGAAGUACCUAUUGAAGAGUUCGAGUUGCCGUCGGUUGAACAAAUUAAGAAGUUCAUGGAUGUAUGCAAAAGGGCUGAUAAAAAUGGGGAGGUAUUGGGGAUCCAUUGCCGGCAGGGUCGGAGCAGGUCCGGCGUGAUGCUGGCUUGCUACUUGGUACACUUCCACCGUUUCCUACCAGAUCAAGCUGUUAAUGCUAUCAGAAUGAUAAGACCUGGGUCAUGUGACUUUCCUGAGCACGAGGAAGCUGUGGGUAAAUAUUUCGAGUAUCUCACUGAGGACAACCCUCUAAAAUUCGGCGUCGGUGGAGAUGUCAUGGAGGAGUUCAUUGACGCCGCAAAAGAGGCCACGAAGAAAGUUCUAAAUUAAUGUUUUUGUUAUCUGUGAUCCAAUGUACCUGAUGAGAUUGUCUUUUUGUUUUAUUUAGGUCUAUUAAGGAAAAACCAAUCAAGAUGUCGGAUAAUACAAAUGUGUUAUUUAUUAAAUUUGAUAUUAAAUUAGGCUUUAUGCCUUAGAUUGUAUUAUGUUAAUUGUUAGAUAUGCUGCAAUAUAUUUAGUAAACUAUUACGGUAGAUACGUUAAAAUUUCGCAUCGCAGAAGUUAUAACCAACAAGCCAACAGUUAAUGGUAAGAGCUUUUGUGAAUGUAUUAAAGAUCCUAUGAAAAAAAAA
This is an RNA transcript of Bombyx mori (domestic silkworm), 2631 nucleotides long. It is a transcript of the gene named dual specificity protein phosphatase 23, with no coding region annotated. The transcript is spliced from 4 exons. The record is from RefSeq and is a predicted model, not a curated record. Lineage: Eukaryota; Metazoa; Arthropoda; Insecta; Lepidoptera; Bombycidae.